GCGCCAGGAGGGGAGGGGGACGGGAACCGGGGGCCUUGCGCGGCGCGAGCUCUGGGUGCGGGGUGGCGCGGGUGUGCCCCGUGGGGUCCAUCACCAGGGUAGCCGCGGUCCGCUCCCACCUGGACCAGGAUAAGCGGUGACCACAGUCCCUUCCACGGGGACCAGGACCAGCGGUGCCCACAGUCCAUCCCAUGGGGACCAGGACAAGCGGUGACCACAGUCCCUCCCAAGAGGACCAGGACCAGCGGUGACUCCCAAGAGGACCAGGACCAGCAGUGACCACGGUCCCUUCCACAGGGAACAGGACCAGCGGUGACCACAGACCAUUCUCACGGGGACCAGGACCACCAGUGACCACGUCUCUCUACAGCUUGUGAGUGGUUGCACCAGAUGCAGAACUGCUCUCUAGAGGACUUUUAGAAAUUUGGGGAUGGAGAAGGAAAUUUGUUGUCAGAAUGAUUAAGGAAUGUCAUCAAUAUUUCACAACUAGGCCCGGAAGUUUUAACACCUUGCAACGUGUAGGACAUCCCUGCCUAAAGAAAAAAUGCUCUUCCCCAAAUGCCAGUAGAUACCUGUAUUAGUCAGGGUUCUCCGAGGAAACAGAACUAAUGGGAGAUUGAUAUUCGUAAAUGGAGAUUUAUUAUGAGG
Symphalangus syndactylus (siamang) is the source of this 648-nucleotide long non-coding RNA. RefSeq lists it as uncharacterized. Lineage: Eukaryota; Metazoa; Chordata; Mammalia; Primates; Hylobatidae. The record is from RefSeq and is a predicted model, not a curated record.